UGAUAAGAUGAUGUUAAUAUUAUGUUUGCUCCUGAGUCAAGGUAAUCAAGCGGUACCCUUCGGACAAGAUGUGGGGAAGUAAAGAGGCAUUUGGCACUCCAAAGUGGGUCAUUGAGGUCAAUUCCAUGGCGUUCAAGCUCUGUGGCAAACCCACCAUCUAUGAUUCCAUACCCACCACACUUGUUCAGAAAAUCUUUCAUCAUGUUUGAGCUAUG
This 215-nucleotide long non-coding RNA is filed under the name Medicago truncatula (barrel medic). Its description in RNAcentral is "lncRNA gene6105". The record is from RNAcentral. Lineage: Eukaryota; Viridiplantae; Streptophyta; Magnoliopsida; Fabales; Fabaceae.